This 502-nucleotide ribosomal RNA is filed under the name Clostridioides difficile. RNAcentral's name for it is "bacterial LSU rRNA". It matches the Rfam family "Bacterial large subunit ribosomal RNA", at positions 1084 to 1589 of the family's 2925-position model. The record is from RNAcentral. Lineage: Bacteria; Bacillati; Bacillota; Clostridia; Peptostreptococcales; Peptostreptococcaceae.
CACAGACAACCAGGAUGUUGGCUUAGAAGCAGCCACUCAUUCAAAGAGUGCGUAAUAGCUCACUGGUCGAGUGAUCCUGCGCCGAAGAUUUCCGGGGCUAAAACUUACUACCGAAGCUACGGCAUCAGUAAUGAUGGGUAGGGGAGCUUCCCAUACGGGUUGAAGCAUGACCGUAAGGACAUGUGGACAGUAUGGGAGUGAGAAUGUUGGCAUGAGUAGCGAGAUGUGGGUGAGAAUCCCACAGGCCGUAAACCCAAGGUUUCCAGGGGAAGGUUCGUCCGCCCUGGGUUAGUCGGGACCUAAGCUGAGGCCGAAAGGCGUAGGUGAUGGACAACAGGUGGAUAUUCCUGUACUACCGAUAACCGUUUGAGAGAUGGGAUGACACAGUAGGAUAAGCUAAGCACACUGUUGGUUAUGUGUGCCCAAGCAUUGAGGCAGUCAAAGUAGGCAAAUCCGCUUUGAUAAUGCUGGGAUGUGAUGGGGAGCGAAAUUUAGUAGCGAA